UACGGAGGAUGCAAGCGUUAUCCGGAUUUAUUGGGUUUAAAGGGUGCGCAGGUUGUUUGAUAAGUCAGUGGUGAAAGUCUGUCGCUUAACGGUAGGAUUGCCAUUGAUACUGUUAGACUUGAAUAUGGAUGAGGUAGGCGGAAUGUGUAGUGUAGCGGUGAAAUGCUUAGAGAUCACACAGAAUAUCGAUUGCGAAGGCAGCUCACAAAGCCAAGAUUGACGCUGAGGCACGAAAGUGUGGGGAUCAAA
RNAcentral lists this ribosomal RNA (249 nucleotides) under uncultured prokaryote. Its description in RNAcentral is "partial 16S ribosomal RNA". It matches the Rfam family "Bacterial small subunit ribosomal RNA", at positions 524 to 772 of the family's 1533-position model. The record is from RNAcentral.